Molecule: unclassified non-coding RNA, 329 nt
Filed under: soil metagenome
Description: partial contains 5.8S ribosomal RNA, internal transcribed spacer 2, and large subunit ribosomal RNA
Rfam family: 5.8S ribosomal RNA (bases 1-120)
Source: RNAcentral
GAUGAAGAACGUAGCGAAACGCGAUAGUUAAUGUGAAUUGCAGAAUUCAGUGAAUCAUCGAGUCUUUGAACGCACAUUGCGCCCCUUGGUAUCCCGAGGGGCAUGCCUGUUCGAGCGUCAUUUCACCACUCAAGCCUGGCUUGGUGUUGGGCGACGUCCUCUUUGGGGACGCGCCUCGAAACGCUCGGCGGCGUGGCACCGGCUUUAAGCGUAGCAGAAUCUUUCGCUUUGGAAGUCGGGGCCCCGUCUGCCGGAAGACCUGCUCGCAAGGUUGACCUCGGAUCAGGCAGGGAUACCCGCUGAACUUAAGCAUAUCAAUAAGCGGAGGA